Molecule: ribosomal RNA, 119 nt
Filed under: Triticum aestivum (bread wheat)
Lineage: Eukaryota; Viridiplantae; Streptophyta; Magnoliopsida; Poales; Poaceae
Source: RNAcentral
NGAUGCGAUCAUACCAGCACUAAAGCACCGGAUCCCAUCAGAACUCCGAAGUUAAGCGUGCUUGGGCGAGAGUAGUACUGGGAUGGGUGACCUCCUGGGAAGUCCUCGUGUUGCAUUCC